RNAcentral lists this ribosomal RNA (1512 nucleotides) under Oscillospiraceae bacterium. Its description in RNAcentral is "bacterial SSU rRNA". It matches the Rfam family "Bacterial small subunit ribosomal RNA". The record is from RNAcentral. Lineage: Bacteria; Bacillati; Bacillota; Clostridia; Eubacteriales; Oscillospiraceae.
UUAAUUAAGAGUUUGAUCCUGGCUCAGGACGAACGCUGGCGGCACGCUUAACACAUGCAAGUCGAACGAGAGAAGAGGAGCUUGCUUUUCUGAUCUAGUGGCGGACGGGUGAGUAACACGUGAGCAAUCUGCCUUUCAGAGGGGGAUACCGAUUGGAAACGAUCGUUAAUACCGCAUAAUAUAAUUGAACCGCAUGAUUUGAUUAUCAAAGAUUUAUCGCUGAAAGAUGAGCUCGCGUCUGAUUAGCUAGUUGGUAAGGUAACGGCUUACCAAGGCGACGAUCAGUAGCCGGACUGAGAGGUUGAUCGGCCACAUUGGGACUGAGACACGGCCCAGACUCCUACGGGAGGCAGCAGUGGGGAAUAUUGCACAAUGGAGGAAACUCUGAUGCAGCGAUGCCGCGUGAGGGAAGAAGGUUUUAGGAUUGUAAACCUCUGUCUUCAGGGACGAAAAAAGACGGUACCUGAGGAGGAAGCUCCGGCUAACUACGUGCCAGCAGCCGCGGUAAUACGUAGGGAGCGAGCGUUGUCCGGAAUUACUGGGUGUAAAGGGAGCGUAGGCGGGAUCGCAAGUCAGAUGUGAAAACUAUGGGCUUAACCCAUAAACUGCAUUUGAAACUGUGGUUCUUGAGUGAAGUAGAGGUAAGCGGAAUUCCUAGUGUAGCGGUGAAAUGCGUAGAUAUUAGGAGGAACAUCAGUGGCGAAGGCGGCUUACUGGGCUUUAACUGACGCUGAGGCUCGAAAGCGUGGGGAGCAAACAGGAUUAGAUACCCUGGUAGUCCACGCCGUAAACGAUGAUUACUAGGUGUGGGGGGACUGACCCCUUCCGUGCCGCAGCAAACGCAAUAAGUAAUCCACCUGGGGAGUACGACCGCAAGGUUGAAACUCAAAGGAAUUGACGGGGGCCCGCACAAGCAGUGGAGUAUGUGGAUUAAUUCGAAGCAACGCGAAGAACCUUACCAGGUCUUGACAUCGUAUGCAUAGCUCAGAGAUGAGUGAAAUCUCUUCGGAGACAUAUAGACAGGUGGUGCAUGGUUGUCGUCAGCUCGUGUCGUGAGAUGUUGGGUUAAGUCCCGCAACGAGCGCAACCCUUACUGUUAGUUGCUACGCAAGAGCACUCUAGCAGGACUGCCGUUGACAAAACGGAGGAAGGUGGGGAUGACGUCAAAUCAUCAUGCCCCUUAUGACCUGGGCCUCACACGUACUACAAUGGCUGUAAACAGAGGGAUGCAAAGCCGCGAGGUGGAGCGAACCCCUAAAAGCAGUCUUAGUUCGGAUUGUAGGCUGCAACCCGCCUACAUGAAGUCGGAAUUGCUAGUAAUCGCAGAUCAGCAUGCUGCGGUGAAUACGUUCCCGGGCCUUGUACACACCGCCCGUCACGCCAUGGGAGUCGGUAACACCCGAAGCCUGUAGUCUAACCGUAAGGAGGACGCAGUCGAAGGUGGGAUUGAUGACUGGGGUGAAGUCGUAACAAGGUAGCCGUAUCGGAAGGUGCGGCUGGAUCACCUCCUUU